This 253-nucleotide ribosomal RNA is filed under the name uncultured bacterium. Its description in RNAcentral is "partial 16S ribosomal RNA". It matches the Rfam family "Bacterial small subunit ribosomal RNA", at positions 524 to 776 of the family's 1533-position model. The record is from RNAcentral.
UACGUAGGGUGCAAGCGUUGUCCGGAAUUAUUGGGCGUAAAGGGCUCGUAGGCGGUCCAUCGCGUCGGGAGUGAAAAGCUGGGGCUUAACCCCAGUCCUGCUUCCGAUACGGGUGGACUAGAGGUAGGUAGGGGAGAUCGGAAUUCCUGGUGUAGCGGUGAAAUGCGCAGAUAUCGGGAGGAACACCGGUGGCGAAGGCGGCAUCCUGGACCGGUAUUGACGCUGAGGCGCGAAAGCCAGGGGAGCAAACGGG